AUUGAACGCUGGCGGCAGGCCUAACACAUGCAAGUCGAACGGCAGCACAGAAGAGCUUGCUCUUUGGGUGGCGAGUGGCGGACGGGUGAGUAAUGUCUGGGAAACCGCCCGGUGGAGGGGGAUAACUUCUGGAAACGGUAGCUAAUACCGCAUAACGUCGCAAGACCAAAGUGGGGGACCUUCGGGCCUCACACCAUCGGAUGUGCCCAGAUGGGAUUAGCUAGUAGGUGGGGUAAUGGCUCACCUAGGCGACGAUCCCUAGCUGGUCUGAGGGGAUGACCAGCCACACUGGAACUGAGACACGGUCCAGACUCCUACGGGAGGCAGCAGUGGGGAAUAUUGCACAAUGGGCGCAAGCCUGAUGCAGCCAUGCCGCGUGUAUGAAGAAGGCCUUCGGGUUGUAAAGUACUUUCAGCGGGGAGGAAGGCGGUGAGGUUAAUAACCUCGCCGAUUGACGUUACCCGCAGAAGAAGCACCGGCUAACUCCGUGCCAGCCGCCGCGGUAA
RNAcentral lists this ribosomal RNA (506 nucleotides) under uncultured bacterium. RNAcentral's name for it is "partial 16S ribosomal RNA". It matches the Rfam family "Bacterial small subunit ribosomal RNA", at positions 29 to 523 of the family's 1533-position model. The record is from RNAcentral.